UUGGCUCUUUGCUUGUGCAACAACUUCCACCUGGCAAGCCUUUUCACGAGUCAUUCUAGGCUUCAAGAUGCCAAAAGAAAUAUUUGGUUUCAUGUGUUGCUUGCCUAACGUACGGUAUCGAUCGGACCUGCAUUGGUUCUUUUUGUCUUGCGGCCUUUCCUGUGGCGCUAGAUGAACCUCAAAGCUGUCUCUAUAAACCACAUCGUUGUCGCGUGGGUUGAUUUAGUGGUGAAUGGAGCACUUCCUGGUCUCUUCGAUAUAGAAUCUAGCCUGGCAUGGGUCUUGUGGGAUCCUUGUUAUGUGCCUGUGUAGUGUUUAUGCUCCCGAAAAUGACGCUCGACUCGCAUUGGCUCGUACCAGCGUGUUGGGUUUUGUCAAAGAGGAAAGUUACCUGGUUGAUCCUGCCAGUAGUCAUAUGCUUGUCUCAAAGAUUAAGCCAUGCA
Molecule: unclassified non-coding RNA, 443 nt
Filed under: Carminatia recondita
Lineage: Eukaryota; Viridiplantae; Streptophyta; Magnoliopsida; Asterales; Asteraceae
Description: partial contains external transcribed spacer and 18S ribosomal RNA
Rfam family: Eukaryotic small subunit ribosomal RNA (bases 389-443)
Source: RNAcentral